CAGCAGCCGCGGGAACACGUAGGGUGCGAGCGUUAAUCGGAAUUACUGGGCGUAAAGCGUGCGCAGGCGGUUGUGUAAGACAGGUGUGAAAUCCCCGGGCUUAACCUGGGAACUGCGCUUGUGACUGCACAGCUAGAGUAUGGCAGAGGGGGGUGGAAUUCCACGUGUAGCAGUGAAAUGCGUAGAGAUGUGGAGGAACACCGAUGGCGAAGGCAGCCCCCUGGGCCAAUACUGACGCUCAUGCACGAAAGCGUGGGGAGCAAACAGGAUUAGAUACCCCGGUAGUCCCUGUCUCUUAUAC
Molecule: ribosomal RNA, 301 nt
Filed under: uncultured bacterium
Lineage: Bacteria
Description: partial 16S ribosomal RNA
Rfam family: Bacterial small subunit ribosomal RNA
Source: RNAcentral